Molecule: non-coding RNA, 650 nt
Organism: Amborella trichopoda
Lineage: Eukaryota; Viridiplantae; Streptophyta; Magnoliopsida; Amborellales; Amborellaceae
Source: RefSeq, a predicted model, not a curated record
CACUACUACUAUCCUCCUCUCUCUCUCUCUCUCUCUCUCUCUCUUGCUGCACACAGGCAUUUUUUUCUUCCUUGGGUCACCAUAUAUGUUACUCUGGAUGCACAUCAUUAGUAAUGCAACACUGUUUCCUUAAGUGAUCCAAAUACUACUUUAUAACUACCAUAUAUGAAUUUUCUGGGCGAGUUCAUCUGAUUUUCUCUCUUUGUAUGGAGGAUUUAUAUUGUAGGGAGUAGAAAAGAAUCUAACAAAGAAUUGUACUAGUGUUGAAGACUACCCAGGACAGUGUUUCUUUCCACAGUAUGAGCUACCUUUCCUUGAAACACCGUUUUUUAUUCUAAAUUCUGCAUACGAUAUUUUUCAGUUUCAUAACAUAUUGGUUCCAAGUUCUGCUGACCCACAUGGAGAUUGGAAUGUCUGCAAGUUAAAUCCUUUAAAAUGUGACCUGCAUCAAUUUUAUGUUUUGCAAGCUUUCAGGAUUAACAUGAUCUCAACAUUGAGGUCUUUCAAUACUUCAAAGACCAGGGGAAUUUUUAUAAACUCAUGUUUUGCUCAUUGCCAAUCCGAAUCACAAGAUACAUGGUUGGGAGAGAAGUCACCUAGCGUUCGCCAUAAGGUAAGGUAUUAUAACUGCUAACUUUUUCAAGUGGGCU